AGCGGCGGACGGGUGAGUAACGCGUGGGUAACCUGCCUCGUACAGGGGGAUAACAGUUGGAAACGGCUGCUAAUAUCGCAUAAGCGCACAGUACCGCAUGGUACCGUGUGAAAAACUCCGGUGGUAUGAGAUGGACCCGCGUCUGAUUAGCUAGUUGGUGGGGUAACGGCCUACCAAGGCGACGAUCAGUAGCCGACCUGAGAGGGUGACCGGCCACAUUGGGACUGAGACACGGCCCAA
RNAcentral lists this ribosomal RNA (240 nucleotides) under uncultured bacterium. RNAcentral describes it as "partial 16S ribosomal RNA". It matches the Rfam family "Bacterial small subunit ribosomal RNA", at positions 94 to 334 of the family's 1533-position model. The record is from RNAcentral.